RNAcentral lists this ribosomal RNA (447 nucleotides) under uncultured Syntrophaceae bacterium. RNAcentral's name for it is "bacterial SSU rRNA". It matches the Rfam family "Bacterial small subunit ribosomal RNA", at positions 97 to 521 of the family's 1533-position model. Lineage: Bacteria; Pseudomonadati; Thermodesulfobacteriota; Syntrophia; Syntrophales; Syntrophaceae. The record is from RNAcentral.
GGCGCACGGGUGAGUAACGCGUUGGAUAAUCUACCCUUUAGUCGGGAAUAACCCACCGAAAGGUGAGCUAAUACCGGAUAAUGCUCCGCAACUACUGUUGUGUAGCCAAAGAAGGCCUCUGCUUGCAAGCUUUUGCUGAAGGAUGAGUCCGCGUACCAUUAGCUAGUUGGUAGGGUAAUGGCCUACCAAGGCGACGAUGGUUAGCUGGUCUGAGAGGAUGAUCAGCCACACUGGAACUGAGAUACGGUCCAGACUCCUACGGGAGGCAGCAGUGAGGAAUAUUGCGCAAUGGGGGCAACCCUGACGCAGCAACGCCGCGUGAGUGAGGAAGGUUUUCGGACCGUAAAGCUCUGUCGAGCGGGAAGAAAUGCAUGAUGGCUAAUAUCCAUGAUGCUUGACGGUACCGCUAGAGGAAGCACCGGCUAACUCCGUGCCAGCAGCCGCGGU